Molecule: ribosomal RNA, 446 nt
Filed under: uncultured bacterium
Lineage: Bacteria
Description: SSU rRNA
Rfam family: Bacterial small subunit ribosomal RNA
Source: RNAcentral
AGAGCGAACGCUGGCGGCAGGCCUAAAACAUGCAAGUCGAACGAGCCCUUCGGGGUUAGUGGCGGACGGGUGAGUAACACGUGGGAACGUGCCUUUUGGUUCGGAACAACUCAGGGAAACUUGAGCUAAUACCGAAUGUGCCCUUCGGGGGAAAGAUUUAUCGCCAUUAGAGCGGCCCGCGUCUGAUUAGCUAGUUGGUGAGGUAAAGGCUCACCAAGGCUUCGAUCAGUAGCUGGUCUGAGAGGAUGAUCAGCCACACUGGGACUGAGACACGGCCCAGACUCCUACGGGAGGCAGCAGUGGGGAAUAUUGGACAAUGGGCGCAAGCCUGAUCCAGCCAUGCCGCGUGGAUGAUGAAGGCCUUAGGGUUGUAAAGUCCUUUUAACGGGGAAGAUAAUGACGGUACCCGUAGAAUAAGCCCCGGCUAACUUCGCGCCAGCAGCCGC